This 115-nucleotide ribosomal RNA is filed under the name Salvator merianae (Argentine black and white tegu). The record is from RNAcentral. Lineage: Eukaryota; Metazoa; Chordata; Lepidosauria; Squamata; Teiidae.
UUCAGCAUUUAGACUGUCUCUUGUGAACUGUGACUUAAAUUCAAAAAUUAAGCAGAGUUAGAUCUAGUUAGCAUUUAGAUGGGUGACCAUCUGAGAAUACCAGGUACUGUAGAUG